AGUGAACGCUGGCGGUAGGCCUAACACAUGCAAGUCGAACGGCAGCACAGUAAGAGCUUGCUCUUACGGGUGGCGAGUGGCGGACGGGUGAGGAAUACAUCGGAAUCUACUUUUUCGUGGGGGAUAACGUAGGGAAACUUACGCUAAUACCGCAUACGACCUACGGUUGAAAGCAGGGGAUCUUCGGACCUUGCGCGAUUGAAUGAGCCGAUGUCGGAUUAGCUAGUUGGCGGGGUAAAGGCCCACCAAGGCGACGAUCCGUAGCUGGUCUGAGAGGAUGAUCAGCAACACUGGAACUGAGACACGGUCAAGACUCCUACGGGAGGCAGAAGUGGGGAAUAUUGGACAAUGGGCGCAAGCCUGAUCCAGCCAUACCGCGUGGGUGAAGAAGGCCUUCGGGUUGUAAAGCCCUUUUGUUGGGAAAGAAAAGCAGCAGGUUAAUACGCCGCUGUUCUGACGGUACCCAAAGAAUAAGCACCGGCUAACUUCGUG
Molecule: ribosomal RNA, 492 nt
Filed under: uncultured bacterium
Lineage: Bacteria
Description: partial 16S ribosomal RNA
Rfam family: Bacterial small subunit ribosomal RNA
Source: RNAcentral